UACGGGGGGGGCAAGCGUUGUUCGGAAUUACUGGGCGUAAAGGGCUCGUAGGUGGCCAACUAAGUCAUACGUGAAAUCCCUCGGCUUAACCGGGGAACUGCGUCUGGUACUGGAUGGCUUGAGGUUGGGAGAGGGAUGCGGAAUUCCAGGUGUAGCGGUGAAAUGCGUAGAUAUCUGGAGGAACACCGGUGGCGAAGGCGGCAUCCUGGACCAAUUCUGACACUGAGGAGCGAAAGCCAGGGGAGCAAACGGG
RNAcentral lists this ribosomal RNA (253 nucleotides) under uncultured bacterium. RNAcentral describes it as "partial 16S ribosomal RNA". It matches the Rfam family "Bacterial small subunit ribosomal RNA", at positions 524 to 776 of the family's 1533-position model. The record is from RNAcentral.